UACGAAGGGGGCUAGCGUUGUUCGGAUUUACUGGGCGUAAAGCGCACGUAGGCGGAUCGUUAAGUCGGGGGUGAAAUCCUGGAGCUCAACUCCAGAACUGCCUUCGAUACUGGCGAUCUUGAGUCCGGAAGAGGUGAGUGGGAACUCCUAGUGUAGAGGUGGAAUUCGUAGAUAUUAGGAAGAACACCAGUGGCGAAGGCGGCUCACUGGUCCGGUACUGACGCUGAGGAGCGAAAGCAUGGGGAGCGAACGAGG
RNAcentral lists this ribosomal RNA (255 nucleotides) under uncultured bacterium. RNAcentral's name for it is "partial 16S ribosomal RNA". It matches the Rfam family "Bacterial small subunit ribosomal RNA", at positions 524 to 777 of the family's 1533-position model. The record is from RNAcentral.